AGCAUUGAUGAUGCCUUCGAGCUGUCCCUGGAGGACGCGGGCCCUGGGCCCGAGUCCAGCGGGGUCGCGCGCUUUGGGCCGCUGCACUUCGAGCGUCGGGCCCGGUUCGAGGUGGCUGACGAGGACAAGCAGUCCCGGCUGCGCUACCAGAACCUGGAGAACGAUGAGGAUGGAGCCCAGGCCUCUCCGGAGCCGGAUGGGGGAGUCAGCACCAGCUCCCAGUGGUCCUUUAGCACCAUCAGCAGCGGCACCCAGCGCUCCUACAACACCUGCUGCAGCUGGACUCAACACCCUUUGAUCCAGAAGAACCGCCGAGUGGUGCUGGCCUCCUUCCUGCUCCUGCUGCUGGGGCUGGGUGAGUGGCCCUGAGGGUUGGGGUCAAGAGGGGCCCCGUGGGAGGCUCUGCCCUCCUUUUGUGCAGGCUCUGCUUCCCCCUUGACAUUGAGCCUCCCAGCAUCCUGGGGAGGCAGCUGGCUGCCAUCAUCACACUCCCAUUUUACAGGUGAGGAGACAGAGGCCUUGUGACCUGGGCACACAGCCAGGAAAUCACACAUAGCUGAAAAUGGAACCUGGCUUAUCACUCCAAAGACUUUUCCUUUUUUAAAAAAUUUAACCUGUUUAAUCCAUUAGGGGACAGAAGUGUAGCAGCUACCAUUUAUUCUGUGUCUGCUUUGGGCAAGGUGCAGGGCAGUUUUAUUUUCCCACCUUACAGAAGUCCUACAAGUGAGGUGGUGCCCAGAAGCCACGUGUAGGGGCUCAGGGAUGCCGAGUGCCCAGCCAGUGCAGAGCCGCAGGGCACCUGGCACUUCCCCUUGUCUGGCAUCUAAGCGCUGACAAGCACCCCUCUCCUACCCAUUG
RNAcentral lists this small RNA (858 nucleotides) under Pongo abelii (Sumatran orangutan). RNAcentral describes it as "retained intron". Lineage: Eukaryota; Metazoa; Chordata; Mammalia; Primates; Hominidae. The record is from RNAcentral.